UUGGAGGGCAAGUCUGGUGCCAGCAGCCGCGGUAAUUCCAGCUCCAAUAGCGUAUAUUAAAGUUGUUGCAGUUAAAAAGCUCGUAGUUGAAUUUCGGGAUUAGUACGUUGGUCGUGCCUUAGGUACGUACUGGUGUUACUGGUUCCUACCUUCUGACGAACCAUCAUGUCAUUAAUUUGGUGUGGUGGGGAAUCAGGACUGUUACUUUGAAAAAAUUAGAGUGUUUAAAGCAGGCUCGCGCUUGAAUACAUUAGCAUGGAAUAAUGAAAUAGGACGUUGAUCCUAUUUUGUUGGUUUCUAGGAUUGACGUAAUGAUUAAUAGGGAUAGUUGGGGGCAUUAGUAUUCAAUUGUCAGAGGUGAAAUUCUUGGAUUUAUUGAAGACUAACUACUGCGAAAGCAUUUGCCAAGGAUGUUUUCAUUAAUCAAGAUCGAAAGUUAGGGGAUCGAAGACGAUCAGAUACCGUCGUAGUCUUAACCAUAAACUAUGCCGACUAGGGAUCGGAUGAUGUUAAUUUUUUAAUGACUCAUUCGGCGCCUUACGGGAAAC
Molecule: ribosomal RNA, 548 nt
Filed under: uncultured Glomus
Lineage: Eukaryota; Fungi; Glomeromycota; Glomeromycetes; Glomerales; Glomeraceae
Description: SSU rRNA
Rfam family: Eukaryotic small subunit ribosomal RNA
Source: RNAcentral